RNAcentral lists this unclassified non-coding RNA (1798 nucleotides) under Hevea brasiliensis (rubber tree). The record is from RNAcentral. Lineage: Eukaryota; Viridiplantae; Streptophyta; Magnoliopsida; Malpighiales; Euphorbiaceae.
AAAAAAAAAAAAUAAAAAAAAAAUGAUAUGGUUUGUUCCUGAUCCCACUAUCCCUUUCUUCCCCAUUUUUUUAUUCAUUUCUCAAUACUAUUGUUACAUCCUAAAAGGCAGAAAAUUUUUUUAGCAAAUCUUAUCAAUACCCCGAAUAGAGUUUUAGAAGAGCAGCAUUUUAUGUCACAUAUUCAUGAUAGCAAAGCAACUUAGCUUGUAGCACCACUUUUCAUAGUCAAUUAGAUAUGUAAAUAUUAGAUAGAAAUAUACCGCAAUUGGCAAAAUGCCCUGUUUCAAUUGGAUCCUACCUUUUUUUUUUUUAAUAAUUUUAAAAAGUAAUUAUCAAUUUCACAUAAUUAAGUUAUAAGUUGCAUAUUGCACACUUUAACAGAACAUGGAACAGAAGAUUAUCCAAGUUUACAAGCAAAGAGCUGAAACAAUAAUAUUGAUAGAUUAUCUAUGUUUGGGUAAUUUUAUAGUCGGUCUUUGAACUUUGCCUCGUGUUUCAUUUUUUGUCCCUUAAUCUCAAUUUAUUACUAAAAAAUUUCUAGACUUUAAUUUUGUUUCACAAAAAUCCCUCUAAUCUGCUAUAAUAGAUUUCCAGGUUAACCCCUUCUCUGAUACUAAAAAACACGGGCUAUUUCAAUUGCCAUAUGGACCUAUCGUAAAUAUACCAAUGCCAUAAAAAUGAUAUACUUCCUGGGAAAGAAGAGGAUUUACCCUUCACCAAAGUGUUGAAAUUGCAUUUGCAGACGUCAUACUGUAAGUUAGAGGGAUUUUUUAAUUUGGAAACCUUUUAUUAUAGGUUAGAGGGACUUUCUGUGAAACCAAGUUAAAGUUUAAGGAUUUUUUAGUAAUAAAUUGAAGUUAAGGAACAGAAGUGAUACACGGGCAAAAUUCGAGUACAAGCUAUAAAAAUAACCCUCUAUGUCUGCAAGAAAACGGAACAUCUUCUUUAAAUAGCAGGGGAAUUAAUUGAUAAUAAAAACAUGGGAGCAAAGCCUAUAGUAUAUUGCAAGCUUGUGGUUAGCUUGAAUUCAACCUACUGCUCUACAAUUAUCUUGGAGUUACACAAGUUACAGCUUUUUAUGUUUAUGAUCUUUCUGUACCUUCUGGUACUUGUAGUCUCAAGUUCAUUAUUCAAGCAUGUGAUUUUGACGGGGCUUGCCAAAAGCUGGAUGAUUCUCCAUAUUUUCAACUCGAUAUUGAAGCCUAAUUAUUUGCAAAAUUUUGUUCAAUCAAAUAUUCAAUGCCCUGACGACAAAAAAAGUUAAGAGGUAGGAUUCUGUUUCGUUUUGUGGCUCUCUUAGAAUUAAGAGGUAGAUUUUUGUCAUUUGUGUUGUGUGUUAUUUUUCAUCAUUAAUUUUAAUAAAUUCUCCUGCAUGACUUGAUUGCAUUUUGCAUAAGAUUGUUGUUUUAUUUCAUUUUUUAUUUCGUUUUCUUUAUAUUUGUCGAUUGGUGUACUCGUAUGGACAAUAGCUUGACAUGCAUUUAACAACUAUUUGGACGUACUUUUUUUUUUGGGUUAAUUCUCUGUACUUUAAUGGGUUGUCUUCUGCUUUCACUAAUUUAUCUCAUUCUCACUUUGUAGGUUAUUGGGUUGUAGUCUGCAGGAAAGACCGUAAUUCUUAAUUUGCCCGUUAUUUAAAAAUAAAUGGAUUUUUAGUGCUUUAAUAUAUGAUAAAGAUGACAAUAUAUGGGAUUUUUUGUACUUUAAUUGCUCUGCAAGUGUAUAAUUUAUACUGUAAUGUGUUAAAUUUAUGAAUAAUUUGAUAAAUAUAUCAGUUUUUCUAAUAUUUUAUUUACU